RNAcentral lists this ribosomal RNA (253 nucleotides) under uncultured bacterium. RNAcentral describes it as "partial 16S ribosomal RNA". It matches the Rfam family "Bacterial small subunit ribosomal RNA", at positions 524 to 776 of the family's 1533-position model. The record is from RNAcentral.
UACGGGGGGGGCAAGCGUUGUUCGGAAUUACUGGGCGUAAAGGGCUCGUAGGCGGCCAACUAAGUCAUACGUGAAAUCCCUCGGCUUAACCGGGGAACUGCGUCUGAUACUGGAUGGCUUGAGUUCGGGAGAGGGAUGCGGAAUUCCAGGUGUAGCGGUGAAAUGCGUAGAUAUCUGGAGGAACACCGGUGGCGAAGGCGGCAUCCUGGACCGAUACUGACGCUGAUGCGCGAAAGCCAGGGGAGCGAACGGG